Molecule: long non-coding RNA, 1529 nt
Organism: Rhagoletis pomonella (apple maggot)
Lineage: Eukaryota; Metazoa; Arthropoda; Insecta; Diptera; Tephritidae
Exons: 2
Source: RefSeq, a predicted model, not a curated record
UUUACGACAAUGUCGACAUGGCGCUCGGUGGUUGUUUCGUCGCCAUCGCUGUGGUUGGUCGGUCGGUCUCCAGAAAACUCAGUGUGCUUGAGGCCGAUAGUCGCUGGGAAUACGCCGCGAUGCUAAGACCCGCAUACGCAAACGAAGUUGUCGCCGUCGUUAGUGCCGCUAUUGUUGUCGUUGUCGUUGUUAUUGUUGUAGUCAUUUUCGUUGUAGUUGUAACACCCGCUGCCGUCGUCACCGUCGCAUUUACUACCAUUGGAGUGUGCAAAUGAAAUAGGAGGAAAAAACGGCAACAGUGGAAAAAGUACAUAAACGGCGGUUGGUGAGGGAGUGAGCAUAAGAAAGGAAGGAAAAGGAAGUGCAAAAUUUUGUGAAAAAGUGCAAGUGGCGGUGAAAGUAAAGCAAGAAGUGGCUAUCUUCGUAACCGCCGCAGCCGUCGCCGCCUGCGGGCUGCUGCUGGGCGACUAAACCGCGCUCGCUGCACUCCUGUAAUCAACGUUAGGCAAGAUUGCGCGAAGUGCAGGAAGGUGCUACCAGAAGCUAGCUACUCAUCUCAGCUCAGCUUCACAAAGUGGACGAAGAAGGCUUAACGCUGUCGAAGAUCGUUUUCGCAGCUCAAUACCGGUUAGCAAGAUCGACAGUAGCACGGCUAAUGGUCGCGGUGACCAUUGACGCAGUGCGUUGCUGCUCGCUCGUUGCUCGCAGCUAAUGUGCUUUAUGUGGGUGUGUGUUUGUGUGCGACACUAAAAUUCUAGUGCAGGGUGAGUUUAACUUUCGUACUAUGCCACUUGGAACGUCGUAGCGCAAAAGAUGCUCUUGCUCACCUUCUGAUAUACGAAAUCAAAAAAAAAAAAAUCUGAAAAAUUCCGAGGCCACAAGUGAAAGUUUGUUAAAAUUGCGGCGAUAGUAAGAAAAUCUAUAAAAAAAUACACAUAGAAAGUUGCUGAAGUUGCUUCUUACUGCUUCCAAUUUCAAUUUGCUUCUUCUAUUCUUCCAUCUCCUUGGCCAUGCAAGCUUCAGCUGGCGAGUAGUGCAGUGCUUCGAAAGUAAAAAAAAAAAUGGAAAGAUGAAAAGUGACUGCAUAAAAGUGCAAAAAAUAAAUCAAAUAAAAAAAGAAAUGUAAAUCCUUACCAUCGCUGCGAAGUGCAUAAAAUCUUUUGCCACUGAGGCCAUUAAUGUUAAUGACGUAAAGUGAAAAUUUCAGUAGCCACCAGCAACCUUUGCGGCUGUCCUCUUCAACUUUUCGAAGCUUCCAUUUACCAACACUUUCGUCGACUACUACGUUUUAUGUUUUGCCUUUGGCGUAUUUUAAUGCUGAAGUGUUACAAUGACGUUGAUCGUCGAAUUUUAUGUUUGUGUAAAAAACCUUGGCUAAAUAUUGUGCAACUGAAUUAAAUACGACAGCAAUAAAUUUUAAGCAGCUGACAAAAAACGAAAAUGUUUCAAAGGCGUUAAUUUAAUUGUUCGAAAUAACGAAUUGCAGUUAAUCUACUACUAAUAAUAAUGUACAUAUAUACGUGAUGUUU